AAGAAGAGAGGUAUAAAAGCACCAAGUAAAAGAGUUCAAUCAAAUUUGUAAUAAGCAAGAGCGCUGGCUUCUCUUUGCACCCGAAACCUUUUGUGUCUUUCUUCUUUUUUGCCCUGUGUCUUUCUUCUCUUUCUGAAUCUUUUUUAUUUUU
RNAcentral lists this non-coding RNA (151 nucleotides) under uncultured eukaryote. The record is from RNAcentral.